CCCUUAGAUGUCCUGGGCCGCACGCGCGCUACACUGAUGCAUGCAACGAGUUUAUAACCUUGGCCUGAAAGGUCUGGGUAAUCUUUUGAACGUGCAUCGUGAUAGGGAUAGAUUAUUGCAAUUGUUAAUCUUGAACGAGGAAUUCCUAGUAAACGCGAGUCAUCAGCUCGCAUUGAUUACGUCCCUGCCCUUUGUACACACCGCCCGUCGCACCUACCGAUUGAAUGGUUCGGUGAAGAUCUCGGACUUCGAUAUUUAUUCUUUAUUGAGUUUAUAUUGUGGGAAGUUAUCUAAACCUCAGCAUUUAGAGGAAGGUGAAGUCGUAACA
RNAcentral lists this ribosomal RNA (328 nucleotides) under uncultured eukaryote. RNAcentral describes it as "partial 18S ribosomal RNA". It matches the Rfam family "Eukaryotic small subunit ribosomal RNA", at positions 1470 to 1796 of the family's 1831-position model. The record is from RNAcentral.